UUUGACGGAGAGUUUGAUCCUGGCUCAGGACGAACGCUGGCGGCGUGCUUAAUACAUGCAAGUCGAACGCUCUCGCCCUUCGGGUCACAUGAGAGAGUGGCGAACGGGUGCGUAACACGUGAGAAACCUGCCCCAAAGACGGGAAUAGCCCGAGGAAACUC
Molecule: ribosomal RNA, 161 nt
Filed under: Acidimicrobiaceae bacterium
Lineage: Bacteria; Bacillati; Actinomycetota; Acidimicrobiia; Acidimicrobiales; Acidimicrobiaceae
Description: partial 16S ribosomal RNA
Rfam family: Bacterial small subunit ribosomal RNA
Source: RNAcentral